Molecule: long non-coding RNA, 119 nt
Organism: Octopus sinensis (East Asian common octopus)
Lineage: Eukaryota; Metazoa; Mollusca; Cephalopoda; Octopoda; Octopodidae
Exons: 3
Source: RefSeq, a predicted model, not a curated record
UCUUUGAAAUGCAAGUUCUAUUCAUUUUUAUCAGCUGAGUGAACUAGAGCAGGGUGAAAUAAAGUGUCUUGCACAGGACUCAAUGCACCACUGGGAAUCGAUCUCACGACCUUACGAAU